RNAcentral lists this microRNA precursor (101 nucleotides) under Marmota monax (woodchuck). Lineage: Eukaryota; Metazoa; Chordata; Mammalia; Rodentia; Sciuridae. The record is from RNAcentral.
AGUGGGAUAGCUGGGUCAAAUAGUUUCGAUUCCAAGUUUUCUAAGUAAUCUCUAUAUUGCUUUCCAGAUUGGUUGCACAAAUUUGCAGUCCCACCAGCAAU